RNAcentral lists this ribosomal RNA (480 nucleotides) under uncultured bacterium. Its description in RNAcentral is "bacterial SSU rRNA". It matches the Rfam family "Bacterial small subunit ribosomal RNA", at positions 30 to 526 of the family's 1533-position model. The record is from RNAcentral.
AUUGAACGCUGGCGGCAUGCCUUACACAUGCAAGUCGAACGGCAGCACGGGUGCUUGCACCUGGUGGCGAGUGGCGAACGGGUGAGUAAUGCAUCGGAACGUGCCCGAUUGUGGGGGAUAACGCACCGAAAGGUGUGCUAAUACCGCAUAAUCUCUGAGGAGGAAAGCAGGGGAUCUUAGGACCUUGCGCAGUUGGAGCGGCCGAUGUCGGAUUAGCUAGUUGGUGAGGUAACGGCUUACCAAGGCGACGAUCCGUAGCUGGUCUGAGAGGAUGAUCAGCCACACUGGGACUGAGACACGGCCCAGACUCCUACGGGAGGCAGCAGUGGGGAAUUUUGGACAAUGGGGGGAACCCUGAUCCAGCCAUGCCGCGUGAGUGAAGAAGGUCUUCGGAUUGUAAAGCACUUUUGGCAGGGACGAUGAUGACGGUACCUGCAGAAUAAGCCCCGGCUAACUUCGUGCCAGCAGCCGCAGUAAAAC